UGUCUACUAAUUAUAGACCAGUAUGAAAGGCAAAAUGAGGGUCUAGCUGUCUCUUAUAAUUAAUCAAUUAAACUGAUCUCCCAGUAAAAAAGCUGGGAUUACCACAUAAGACCAGAAGACCCUGUGAAGCUUAAACUCAACUAUUAAACCCCAUAAUAGCCACUUUCGGUUGGGGCGACCUUGGAAAAAAAAAGAACUUCCAAACCAGUGACAUCCAUCACACCAUCAAGGCCUACAAGCCAAUAUAGACCCAGCACUGCUGAUAAUCGAACCAAGUUACUCCAGGGAUAACAGCGCAAUCCUCUUCAAGAGCCCAUAUCAAAAAGAGGGUUUACGACCUCGAUGUUGGAUCAGGACAUCCUGAUGGUGCA
This 371-nucleotide ribosomal RNA is filed under the name Hapsidophrys smaragdina. RNAcentral describes it as "Hapsidophrys smaragdinus partial 16S ribosomal RNA". It matches the Rfam family "Bacterial large subunit ribosomal RNA", at positions 1970 to 2557 of the family's 2925-position model. The record is from RNAcentral. Lineage: Eukaryota; Metazoa; Chordata; Lepidosauria; Squamata; Colubridae.